UUGAUCCUGGCUCAGAAUCAACGCUGGCGGCGUGCCUAACACAUGCAAGUCGAACGCGAAAGCCCCGCAAGGGGUAAGUAGAGUGGCAAACGGGUGAGUUACACGUGGGUGACCUGCCUUCGAGUGGGGGAUAACGUCCCGAAAGGGACUCUAAUACCGCAUAAUAUCCUGCCUUUUAAGAGGUGGACAUCAAAGCUGGUGACCGCAAGGCCUGGCGCUUGAAGAGGGGCCCGCGCCUGAUUAGCUAGUUGGUGGGGUAAUGGCUCACCAAGGCUUCGAUCAAUAUCCGGCCUGAGAGGUCGGACGGACACACUGGGACUGAGACACGGCCCAGACUCCUACGGGAGGCUGCAGUGGGGAAUUGUUCGCAAUGGGCGCAAGCCUGACGACGCAACGCCGUGUGGAGGAUGAAGACCUUCGGGUCGUAUACUCCUUUCGAUCGAGACGAAUGAUCUCCGGGUGAACAGCCUGGGGAAGUGACGGUACCGAGAGAAGAAGCUCCGGCUAACUCCGUGCCAGCAGCCGCGGUAAUAAGGU
RNAcentral lists this ribosomal RNA (537 nucleotides) under uncultured Acidobacteriota bacterium. RNAcentral describes it as "bacterial SSU rRNA". It matches the Rfam family "Bacterial small subunit ribosomal RNA", at positions 13 to 529 of the family's 1533-position model. Lineage: Bacteria; Pseudomonadati; Acidobacteriota. The record is from RNAcentral.